RNAcentral lists this ribosomal RNA (637 nucleotides) under uncultured bacterium. RNAcentral's name for it is "bacterial SSU rRNA". It matches the Rfam family "Bacterial small subunit ribosomal RNA", at positions 607 to 1244 of the family's 1533-position model. The record is from RNAcentral.
GCUCAACCGAGGAAGUGCUUCGAAAACUGGUAAACUUGAGUGCAGAAGAGGAAAGUGGAACUCCAUGUGUAGCGGUGGAAUGCGUAGAUAUAUGGAAGAACACCAGUGGCGAAGGCGGCUUUCUGGUCUGUAACUGACGCUGAGAUUCGAAAGCAUGGGUAGCAAACAGGAUUAGAUACCCUGGUAGUCCAUGCCGUAAACGAUGAGUGCUAAGUGUUGGAGGGUUUCCGCCCUUCAGUGCUGCAGCUAACGCAUUAAGCACUCCGCCUGGGGAGUACGACCGCAAGGUUGAAACUCAAAGGAAUUGACGGGGGCCCGCACAAGCGGUGGAGCAUGUGGUUUAAUUCGAAGCAACGCGAAGAACCUUACCAGGUCUUGACAUACCAUGAAAAGCUUAGAGAUAAGUCUUUCCCUUCGGGGACAUGGAUACAGGUGGUGCAUGGUUGUCGUCAGCUCGUGUCGUGAGAUGUUGGGUUAAGUCCCGCAACGAGCGCAACCCUUAUUAUCAGUUGCCAGCAUUCAGUUGGGCACUCUGGUGAGACUGCCGGUGACAAACCGGAGGAAGGUGGGGACGACGUCAAAUCAUCAUGCCCCUUAUGACCUGGGCUUCACACGUGCUACAAUGGUCGGUACAACG